GAUCAUGGCUCAGGAUGAACGCUAGCUACAGGCUUAACACAUGCAAGUCGAGGGGCAGCAUGACCUAGCAAUAGGUUGAUGGCGACCGGCGCACGGGUGAGUAACACGUAUCCAACCUACCGGUUAUUCCGGGAUAGCCUUUCGAAAGAAAGAUUAAUACCGGAUAGUAUAACGAGAAGGCAUCUUUUUGUUAUUAAAGAAUUUCGAUAACCGAUGGGGAUGCGUUCCAUUAGUUUGUGGGCGGGUACGGACCCGACCAACG
Molecule: ribosomal RNA, 262 nt
Filed under: uncultured bacterium
Lineage: Bacteria
Description: partial 16S ribosomal RNA
Rfam family: Bacterial small subunit ribosomal RNA
Source: RNAcentral